RNAcentral lists this long non-coding RNA (1845 nucleotides) under Aotus nancymaae (Ma's night monkey). Its description in RNAcentral is "lncRNA (ENSANAG00000038992.1)". Lineage: Eukaryota; Metazoa; Chordata; Mammalia; Primates; Aotidae. The record is from RNAcentral.
GAAAUCCUGAAGUCAAGGAGACGACUCAGAAUCCGGGGCCGUCCUGGGAUUUGAUAGCCCCUGCUUCGAUCUGAGCAGGACCUGCAGUCUUGUGUCUGAGCUCACGCGUAAGGUUAGGAGGAACCAUUCAUUGGCCAAGUGGUGUCCCCCACCCCUGGGGAGGAGGAGCACAAUUUCUUUCAAGGACUUUUCUGGGUACCCGGGGUGGGGAGUGAAGAAGGAGUCUCUGGAGGCAAAAGGGACAUUGAGAGGCCUGAGCAAAUGACACUGGCUUUGCUUGAAUCUGGAAGGCCAGGCGGAGGAAAAAGAACUUCUGUUGCCGGGCGCGGUGGCUCAUGCCUGUAACCCCAGCACUUUGGGAGGCCGAGGAGGCGGGAGAAUCACUCGAAGUCAGGAGUUCAAGAUCAUCCUGGCCAACAUGGCGAAACUCUCUACUACAAUACAAAAAUUAGCCGGGCGUGAUGGCAGGUGCCUGUAAUCCCAGCUAUUUGGGAGACUGAGGCAGGUGAAUCGCUUGAACCCAGGAGGCGGUGAUUGUAGUCAGCCCAGAUUGCACCACUACACUCCAGUCUGGGCGGUCCGCAUUGUUUUCUGCCCAGAAUCCCCAUUGCCCUCUCCUCCGGCUGAUGGCAAAACUUCCGCCACCCAGCUGACCUCCAUCCACCAACACCUGAGAGGCCCUCGGGUGACCUGAAGCGAGGCCGUCCUGGCCGCUCCUGCAGGGACAGUCCCCGAUGCAGGAAGGCAGUUUGCAGAAGCGUCAGUGCUGUCCGGUGGGGAAGGAAGGCUCCGACGUCUGCCCUUCUUCAUACACCGGGCUCCGCUCGCUUCCAGGAGGAGAGAAGCGUGUCACCACUCAACCAAAUUUACUUCCGUGGUGGAUUCCGAUUUUAUUGAACAUAAUGAGGUUUCUUUCUGUGGUCCGACCCACCACCUUCAUAUUUCCGGAAGAAGGAACAUGAAACGAAAAGAAAAAAGCCCUUACAACAUCAUAGGAGUUUCUCUGCCAGCACAUUGUGCUUGCAUCCUAAAGAAGCCAGACAGCAGAGUUAACAGAUCAGUUAAGAAUGGGUUCCAUGAAGAAGAAAAGAGAAAAAAGAUAAGAGAAGUCAUUGCCAGGAUGAUUCAUGUUGGGAAUAGGAUGCCAAGCCCUGACUACCAGGUAAGCAGGAAACACCAUGGAAUGCCAGGGAGGGAGGAAGAGGGGUCUCCUGUAGGCAGGAAGGAAAGCUUCAUAAAGAAAUUGCAUCCUAACCGGGUGUAGUGGCUCACGCCUGUAAUCCCAGCACUUUGGGAGGCCGAGUUGGGCGGAUCACAAGGUCAGGAGUUUCAAGACCGGCCUGACCAAUAUGGUGAAACCCCGUCUCUACUAAAAACAUAAAAAUUGGCUGGGCAUGGUGGUGCGUGCCUAUAGUCCCAGCUACUUGGGAGGCUGAGGGAGGAGAAUCACUGGGACCUGAGAGGCGGAGGUUGCAGUGAGCCAAGAUCACGCCACUGCACUCCAGUGGCCUAGGCGACAGAGCAAGACUGUAUCACCCCCCCACCCAAAAAAAAAAAAAGAAAGCAAUUGCAUUCUGUUUAUAAUACUUCCAGGGACAGGUUAAUUUUUUCUUUCCAUGUAGCUAUGCUUGAUGGCCUGCACCACUGUCUUACCUUAACCUAUCUUAUUAAUUUGACUUAAGGGAUUUUUUUUAAAAAAAGACAGUUUUAUUGAAAUAGAAUGUGCACAUAAUAAACUGCAGAUAUUUACAUCAUACAAUAAGUUAGAUACCUGUGGGAUUAUCACCACCAUCGAGACAAUAAACAUAUCUGCCACCUGUAAAAGUUCCUUCGGCCUCUGUGUUC